Lolium perenne is the source of this 1670-nucleotide non-coding RNA. The record is from RefSeq and is a predicted model, not a curated record. Lineage: Eukaryota; Viridiplantae; Streptophyta; Magnoliopsida; Poales; Poaceae.
UUCAAGUCGUGGAAACAGCAUCUUGCAAAAAUUGCAAGGAAAGGCUGCGUACAAUGACCCAAUGUGGUCUGACCCCUCCCCGGACCCCGCGCAAAGCGGGAGCUUCAUGCACCGGGCUGCCCUUUUUAUUAAAACUGUUUCUGUCGACUUUCUGUCUGUAUCACGAUGCUUAAUAUAUUUGCCUUCCUUCUCACGAUGCUUCUCUUGUGUCAUUUCUUUCUUUGCAGUAUCCACAACAAAACGGUGCAGCACCUCACCCUUGAUGGUAGCUGCUUGACGGAUGUCCGCAAGAAAUUCUUCAAUCUUCAGCUGGAACGGUGUGCUCGGUGCUCCACCACCACUUCACAUCUUCUGCAGUAUGAAGCAUCAACUCAUGAAAUCCUAAUUAAUCAGUAGCCAUAAAAAACAGUAAACUGAAAAUGGUUCAUGUGUAUUUCACACGCAAACCAGAACUUAAAGAUGUUGUGAACGAUUUGAAAUAUCUCUGCAUGAGGUAUGCUAAGGCCACUCCAUUGCAAAUUUGCUCGCUGUUUGUGAAUAGAAAAGUGGCAAACCAGUGAGCUUCACACUUGAUGUGCAUUCUGUCUUUUGAUGUAUCUUAUUGUCUCAGAAGUUGUGCAAGGAGAUUAAAUAAAACUGUUUGCCAUGAGUAUGUUUUAGUAGAUGGGAUUGGAAUGGUGGCCUGUUUUCCGUAGUCUAUCACUGCGUACUCGAAGAGAUAGAAUUGUGCAUGCAACCUAUCUCCCUUUUCAGGACUAUAUUGAUUUUAGGACUUCAUGUUCCGUAAGUCUGAUGCUUUUGUGUUUUAAUCGAUAUGUCUGGCUCCAGCAGGAUAUAAAAUAAGGCCGUGUUAGGCAUGAUAUUUGAGUUCUCAUUGUUUAGUCCUCACUGGUCUGCUGGAUUCUGUUAAUUCUGUAGGCAAAACCUGAUGGACAAGGAGAUAAAAGAGAGAAUAUCAUGAGAGGAGUGUUGUUUGGGAUGGCCUCCUUCCAGAGAUGCCACUCCCUUUCCUGCCAUGCCAGAUGCUAAUGUUGAAAUGAACAUGGUAAUAUGUUGGGAUGCUGCAUUGGAUACUGAAUAUGCUAGGAUGCUAUGAAGGGGUAUGGUGGGGUCACAUAAUUGCACCAUGAUGUGUGAAAAAAACAAGCUAGGAGUACACCAACAGUAGUUUCAAAUCUCAGUACAAACACGUGUACUCCUGGGAACAAGGUUGCAGUGGUGCCACUGGUGGCCAACAAGAUGGAGCUGCAGGCAACAGCUGCAACACAUGCACUUGAGAUCCUGCAAUCCGUUACAUACACUCCUGGGGACCGUUGUGCAAGGAAAAAAGACAAGUCGCUACUGCAUCGUAGCCUACACCUACUGGAGCAGGCAGAAUUACUUCAAGUUGGUUCCUUCUUCCUUGAGCCUCUCUGAUGCCCUGUAAUCAACUAGAGGAUGAAAACUGCUUUAAUCUCGCAUUUGCCUCAUAAAGCUUGAACUAUCACCCUGUUACUUUGUGGUUUCAUGCCUGCAAUUAAAUCUGGGGGACCCUUUGAUCUCUUAAUAAAUCCAGUUCAAUGUUAGCUUUCUGGUGUGGCGGUGGUCAUGCACCUAAAACCAGAUACUUUACAGACGUCUAGCAUGUUUGUUGAUUUUAUUGAAGAAAAUGUGCAAGUCCAUUUUUGAGU